This 2899-nucleotide ribosomal RNA is filed under the name Klebsiella pneumoniae. RNAcentral describes it as "23S ribosomal RNA". It matches the Rfam family "Bacterial large subunit ribosomal RNA". Lineage: Bacteria; Pseudomonadati; Pseudomonadota; Gammaproteobacteria; Enterobacterales; Enterobacteriaceae. The record is from RNAcentral.
UUAAGCGACUAAGCGUACACGGUGGAUGCCCUGGCAGUCAGAGGCGAUGAAGGACGUGCUAAUCUGCGAAAAGCGUCGGUAAGGUGAUAUGAACCGUUAUAACCGGCGAUGUCCGAAUGGGGAAACCCAGUGCAAUUCGUUGCACUAUCGUUAACUGAAUACAUAGGUUAACGAGGCGAACCGGGGGAACUGAAACAUCUAAGUACCCCGAGGAAAAGAAAUCAACCGAGAUUCCCCCAGUAGCGGCGAGCGAACGGGGAGCAGCCCAGAGUCUGAAUCAGCUUGUGUGUUAGUGGAACGGUCUGGAAAGUCCGACGGUACAGGGUGAUAGUCCCGUACACCAAAAUGCACAGGCUGUGAACUCGAAGAGUAGGGCGGGACACGUGGUAUCCUGUCUGAAUAUGGGGGGACCAUCCUCCAAGGCUAAAUACUCCUGACUGACCGAUAGUGAACCAGUACCGUGAGGGAAAGGCGAAAAGAACCCCGGCGAGGGGAGUGAAAAAGAACCUGAAACCGUGUACGUACAAGCAGUGGGAGCACCUUCGGGUGUGACUGCGUACCUUUUGUAUAAUGGGUCAGCGACUUAUAUUCUGUAGCAAGGUUAACCGUAUAGGGGAGCCGCAGGGAAACCGAGUCUUAACUGGGCGUUAAGUUGCAGGGUAUAGACCCGAAACCCGGUGAUCUAGCCAUGGGCAGGUUGAAGGUUGGGUAACACUAACUGGAGGACCGAACCGACUAAUGUUGAAAAAUUAGCGGAUGACUUGUGGCUGGGGGUGAAAGGCCAAUCAAACCGGGAGAUAGCUGGUUCUCCCCGAAAGCUAUUUAGGUAGCGCCUCGUGAACUCAUCUUCGGGGGUAGAGCACUGUUUCGGCUAGGGGGUCAUCCCGACUUACCAACCCGAUGCAAACUACGAAUACCGAAGAAUGUUAUCACGGGAGACACACGGCGGGUGCUAACGUCCGUCGUGAAGAGGGAAACAACCCAGACCGCCAGCUAAGGUCCCAAAGUCAUGGUUAAGUGGGAAACGAUGUGGGAAGGCACAGACAGCCAGGAUGUUGGCUUAGAAGCAGCCAUCAUUUAAAGAAAGCGUAAUAGCUCACUGGUCGAGUCGGCCUGCGCGGAAGAUGUAACGGGGCUAAACCAUGCACCGAAGCUGCGGCAGCGACACUAUGUGUUGUUGGGUAGGGGAGCGUUCUGUAAGCCUGCGAAGGUGUGCUGUGAGGCAUGCUGGAGGUAUCAGAAGUGCGAAUGCUGACAUAAGUAACGAUAAAGCGGGUGAAAAGCCCGCUCGCCGGAAGACCAAGGGUUCCUGUCCAACGUUAAUCGGGGCAGGGUGAGUCGACCCCUAAGGCGAGGCCGAAAGGCGUAGUCGAUGGGAAACAGGUUAAUAUUCCUGUACUUGGUGUUACUGCGAAGGGGGGACGGAGAAGGCUAUGUUAGCCGGGCGACGGUUGUCCCGGUUUAAGCAUGUAGGCUGAUUGUCCAGGCAAAUCCGGAUAAUCAAGGCUGAGGUGUGAUGACGAGGCACUACGGUGCUGAAGUAACAAAUGCCCUGCUUCCAGGAAAAGCCUCUAAGCAUCAGGUAACAUUAAAUCGUACCCCAAACCGACACAGGUGGUCAGGUAGAGAAUACCAAGGCGCUUGAGAGAACUCGGGUGAAGGAACUAGGCAAAAUGGUGCCGUAACUUCGGGAGAAGGCACGCUGGUGUGUAGGUGAAGUCCCUGCGGAUGGAGCUGAGACCAGUCGAAGAUACCAGCUGGCUGCAACUGUUUAUUAAAAACACAGCACUGUGCAAACACGAAAGUGGACGUAUACGGUGUGACGCCUGCCCGGUGCCGGAAGGUUAAUUGAUGGGGUUAUCCGUAAGGAGAAGCUCUUGAUCGAAGCCCCGGUAAACGGCGGCCGUAACUAUAACGGUCCUAAGGUAGCGAAAUUCCUUGUCGGGUAAGUUCCGACCUGCACGAAUGGCGUAAUGAUGGCCAGGCUGUCUCCACCCGAGACUCAGUGAAAUUGAACUCGCUGUGAAGAUGCAGUGUACCCGCGGCAAGACGGAAAGACCCCGUGAACCUUUACUAUAGCUUGACACUGAACAUUGAGCCUUGAUGUGUAGGAUAGGUGGGAGGCUUUGAAGCGUGGACGCCAGUCUGCGUGGAGCCAACCUUGAAAUACCACCCUUUAAUGUUUGAUGUUCUAACGUUGGCCCCUUACCGGGGUUGCGGACAGUGUCUGGUGGGUAGUUUGACUGGGGCGGUCUCCUCCCAAAGCGUAACGGAGGAGCACGAAGGUUAGCUAAUCCUGGUCGGACAUCAGGAGGUUAGUGCAAUGGCAUAAGCUAGCUUGACUGCGAGCGUGACGGCGCGAGCAGGUGCGAAAGCAGGUCAUAGUGAUCCGGUGGUUCUGAAUGGAAGGGCCAUCGCUCAACGGAUAAAAGGUACUCCGGGGAUAACAGGCUGAUACCGCCCAAGAGUUCAUAUCGACGGCGGUGUUUGGCACCUCGAUGUCGGCUCAUCACAUCCUGGGGCUGAAGUAGGUCCCAAGGGUAUGGCUGUUCGCCAUUUAAAGUGGUACGCGAGCUGGGUUUAGAACGUCGUGAGACAGUUCGGUCCCUAUCUGCCGUGGGCGCUGGAGAAUUGAGGGGGGCUGCUCCUAGUACGAGAGGACCGGAGUGGACGCAUCACUGGUGUUCGGGUUGUCAUGCCAAUGGCACUGCCCGGUAGCUAAAUGCGGAAGAGAUAAGUGCUGAAAGCAUCUAAGCACGAAACUUGCCCCGAGAUGAGUUCUCCCUGAGACUUUAAGUCUCCUGAAGGAACGUUGAAGACGACGACGUUGAUAGGCCGGGUGUGUAAGCGCAGCGAUGCGUUGAGCUAACCGGUACUAAUGAACCGUGAGGCUUAACCU